CGACAGGAGGUGCAUCCUUCCAGAUUUACACCUUCUCUUCAAAGGACUCUUCCUCAAGAUCUCCAGCAAUUCCUGGAGUCCCUAGGAUACUAUUUCCGCCUCUUGCUAUUCAAGCUCAAGGAGUUGUAUGGUUACCCUUCAUUUCUGGCUUGUCAGGAUCAUCCUUUGUUGUUCCUUCAAUUGUGCUACAUCUCUGCCAAGAUUCAACUGCAAGCUGUAGGCUUGAAAAGACAGGACUUCCUGUUGUCCUCCAGCCCCUACUUUACAGGUUAAACAAAGAUAAGCAAACAGAAAGGAUUUCAGCUUCCACAAAACCAAGGACAGAAUCCACUUCUGGGAUAGCAGAAGGUCUUUCCAGGCUCUGAAGCAGUCAGGAAGGAAAGGUAUAUUUCAGAAUUCAGGGUCUUGAGCAUGUGAGGAUUGGACACUUCCCAGGGUUUAUUGCCACCAGUUUGGAAGAUCCUGCCUUUAGAAGAUCAUGCUUUGUGACUGAGAAUGUGCGAAAACCAUCUCUAAAUAAGAGAGUAUCUUGAUGAGUCCCUUGAAUCCCAACCAAGUCCAGCAAUUCAAAAUUGUGCAUUUUACAAACUGUUUCUGCUGAAGAAUGUUCACAGUGGUUCCUUGUUGCCCUCACCACUAGGAACAAAAUCCUUGUUCUACAUUCCCGCUGGAGAUAGCGGAGGCUUGGAUAGCCCGAAAGUAAAUUUUUUAUAAAUCCUGGCUUGUAUGCUCCCAUUGCAAUUAGUGAGGAUUAGGAUGCUAUACUAGAUUUUUGUUGGUAGAGGGAAAGUAACCUUAGUUCCUUUGGCUAAUUUGUGACAAAGAAGCAUUCUUGGCUUUAACCAAUGAAAUCAUGCCCAUUUGUAAAUGGAUUAGUGCAGAAUUUGCCUAGCUUUUUCCCCUUCCUACUUCAACUAUACUUGCUAUGGGUUUUUAAAAAAUGCAUGAGAACUAUUUUAUUCCUAUUUUUUCAUACUAAAAAGUUAUUGUGGGAAUUUCUCUUAUUCCAGUUAUCAAUACACUAAUGUGCACACACAGACACCCAUACACACAUACAAUCUUUUAAUGCUAUCUAGUUAGACAACUAGUCUUACUCUGAAUCCUGUAAAUAUAUGGGCUUUUAAAUCUGGAUCUGAUAGCAUUGCUCUGUAAUUCCAGUUGAUAGGAAUAGACUAUGGUGUAUGUGGCCUUCAUAACAAGUUUAAAGUCAGCCUGUGCAAGUUAAUAAGAUCCUGUCUCAAUUAUAUAUAU
Long non-coding RNA from Peromyscus eremicus (cactus mouse), 1251 nucleotides. RefSeq lists it as uncharacterized. The transcript is spliced from 3 exons. NCBI's taxonomy places the organism in Eukaryota, Metazoa, Chordata, Mammalia, Rodentia, Cricetidae. The record is from RefSeq and is a predicted model, not a curated record.